AGAGUUUGAUCCUGGCUCAGAUCGAACGCUGGCGGCGUGGCUAAAACAUGCAAGUCGAACGCGAACGUUCCCUUCGGGGAACAAGUAGAGCGGCGAAAGGGCGAGGAAUACAUGGGUAACGUGCCUCGAGCACGAGGACAGCCGGGGGAAACUCCGGUUAAUACUCGAUAAGACCACAGCACCGCAGGGUGCAGGGGUCAAAGGGUGGGGACCUUCGGGCCUGCCGGCUCGAGAGCGGCCCAUGUCCUAUCAGCUUGUUGGUGGGGUAACGGCCUACCAAGGCUACGACGGGUACCGGGACUGAGAGGUUGACCCGGCGCAUCGGGACUGAGACACUGCCCGGACUCCUACGGGAGGCUGCAGUAACGAAUAUUGGGCAAUGGGCGAAAGCCUGACCCAGCGACGCCGCGUGUGGGAAGAAUGCCUUCGGGUUGUAAACCACUGUCAGGGAUUACCAACCAACCGGUGUGAAUAGCGCCGGGAGUUGAGGAGUCCCAGAGGAAGUCACGGCUAACUUCGUGCCAGCAGCCGCGGUAAUACGAAGGUGGCUAGCGUUGUUCGGAAUCACUGGGCUUAAAGAGCACGUAGGCGGACGAUCAAGCGUCUUGUGAAAGCCCUCGGCUCAACCGGGGAAUUGCUUGGCGAACUGAUCAUCUUGAGGCAGGUAGGGGCGAGUGGAACUCUUGGUGGAGCGGUGGAAUGCUUAGAUAUCAAGAGGAACGCCAGAGGCGAAGGCGACUCGCUGGGCCUGACCUGACGCUGAGGUGCGAAAGCCAGGGGAGCGAACGGGAUUAGAUACCCCGGUAGUCCUGGCCCUAAACGAUGUCCACUAGG
RNAcentral lists this ribosomal RNA (834 nucleotides) under uncultured organism. RNAcentral describes it as "bacterial SSU rRNA". It matches the Rfam family "Bacterial small subunit ribosomal RNA", at positions 8 to 820 of the family's 1533-position model. The record is from RNAcentral.